AAUGGCUGCAGUAAUAUAACUGUACAAAGGUAGCAUAAUCAUUAGUUUUUUAAUUAAAAGCUUGUAUGAAAGGUUGGACGAGGUAAAAUCUGUCUCUUUUUAAUAUAAUUAGAAUUUAAUUUUUAAGUAAAAAAGCUUAAAUUUAUAUAAAAGACGAGAAGACCCUAUAGAGUUUAAUAAUUUAUUUUAAAUAAUUAAUUUAGAUUUAUUUAUUUUAUUUAUUAUAUAAUUAUUUUAUUGGGGUAAUAAAAAGAUAAAUAUAAUUCUUUUUUUUAUUUUACAUUAAUAUAUGAAUUAAUGAUCCAUUUUUAUGAUUAAAAGAUUAAAUUACCUUAGGGAUAACAGCGUAAUUUUUUUAAAGAGUUCAUAUCGAUAAAAAAGUUUGCGACCUCGAUGUUGGAUUAAAGAUUAGUUUAGGUGUAGAAGUUUAAAUUUUUGGUCUGUUCGACCAUUAAAUCUUUACAUGAUCUGAGUUCAAACCGGUGUAAGCCAGGUUGGUUUCUAUCUUUAUAAAAUUUUUAUAUUUUAGUACGAAAGGACCAAAUAUUUAAUAUAUUAAUAUUUAAUAUUUUGAAUAU
RNAcentral lists this ribosomal RNA (578 nucleotides) under Duvalius brujasi. Its description in RNAcentral is "partial 16S ribosomal RNA". It matches the Rfam family "Bacterial large subunit ribosomal RNA", at positions 1926 to 2758 of the family's 2925-position model. The record is from RNAcentral. Lineage: Eukaryota; Metazoa; Arthropoda; Insecta; Coleoptera; Carabidae.